CACACCUGGCUAAUUUUUGUAUUUUUAGUAGAGAUGGGGUUUCACCAUGUUGGCCAGGCUUGUCUCAAACUCCUUUUUUUUUUGCAUCAUCAGUAUAGUUAAGAGCUUUCCAGCCCACCUGUUAAACAUCUUCAGCAGAUGCUUCUGGGAGCUGAUUUUCCAGACUGUAACAACUUUAUAAUUUGAGCAACUUUAAUCAAGAUUCUUACCUUGGCAGAUGCCAGCUUUUUGCUUCAAUUUCAUACCAGGCUCUGCAUACUCUAAAAUAAAGAGCUACUUAAUGGACAGUGAUAUCCCACAGCCCGUAAAUAUUAAUAUGAGUGCCAUUAGUUAGAGUGGAAUACACUCAUUUGUGAAUGUUUUUAAAGAAUAUAAAUGCUAAUUUGUUUUUGCAUUACAGGAUAUAUUCUUAGCAUUUGGAAUCAUUUUGGCUUAAUUGGUAUCAACUCUUCUCACAUAAAUAAAUGAAUAAAUGAAACUCAAAUUGCUAGCCCCCAGUGACACAAGAGAAACUGACUUCUGGUGCCUUUUUAAACCUUUGAGAAGAACCCUUUUGGCUGACACAAUGUGGCUUUGAUGGAGAAUCGUAAACACAAUGCAUGAAGCUUGUUUGUUCCAGAAAAUAUCUCAUUAGAUAUAAUUAAGAUACACAAAAAGGAGGUACUUAAAUUCUAUAGCUUAUUGCCAAUCUAAUAUCUCAGCCAUUCACAAAUAAAUCUCAGUCAUUUUAAUUCAAUUGGGAUUAUAUUGGAAUUAGUAGUUUAGAGUUGAUAUACUGUCUCCCACUGAAAGCUUCCAAGGUGAAAGUCAAACAAAAAUAAAUAAAAAGUGUUAAAUAUAACAUCUUUAGAAAAUACUGUUUGGAAAGAGUAUCUAGUUAAUUAUUUGGCAAAAAAUAAUGUAAUAGUCAUUUUUUGAGGUUUGGUGGUUAAUGUAAAAACAUAUAGAGAAAGCUUACAGCAUUAAGAAGCAUGGAUUUUGGUUCAGGAUUCAGUGUGGCUACAGCACAAGAAAAUUAAUUUAGAUCUUGUGGGCUGCCUCUCAAACACAAUAGCAGACAUUGUUUUUAAAAAGAUAUUACCUAAAUCAUUCAUGCAUUAAAAACUCAAUUAAGAAAAGUUUGUUGCCAAGCAUGAGUUAGCAGUUUUGAGGAUAUGAUGAGGUUCUGAGAUGUAGUUCUUAACAUUGAGUCUUCAGGGAUUUAACAAGUUUCUUUGUGGAGCCCCUCUAUGAUUCUUCAUUUAUUUCAGUACUCUGUCUCUUGCUACAAAUGCAUAGAGUACAAACUUAUGAAUAGUCCACUCACAACAACUAUUGCUAUUUGUCAUGACUCGAGAACUGACACAUGAUCAUAAGAAACCCCAUAAAAACAAAUAAAUGAGUGUCUCUAAGAAGCAGCUAACAAGUAGAGAGACGUUUUGAAGCUAAGCAGUUUGUCUCUAGAGCUUAAGCUCCUAAUGCUAUUCCAUUGGAACUCUUGGUAUUAGUAUAAGUAAAGAGAUUCAUUUGAGUCAGAUGGCUAAAGUAAAUUAAUGGCUGAUUGCUCUGCUCAAAGUAGAGAAAUAAGCUCAAUAAAUUCCAUCUAUCCUUACAUUUUUAAAGAUUUCACCAGAAGAAAACAGCUUCCAAGCCUAACCUCAGGUGAGAUGCAAAACCAAAGUUUUUCUCUUUUUUAAAAAUCUUUAUCUGUUUUAGUCAAAGACCCCAGAUUUUUACAGAGUAGUUGUUACAGAAUAUUUACUGCCCACCAAUUAUUCCAUACACCUCCCUACACUUCCAGCCUUCUUUGCCUGUAUGCUGGAGCCAUGGAUCUAGCUUUGCCAAUGGAUACUGACAGAAAAUACAUGUUUUAUGUCUGGGCUGGGACAGUGAGUUCCUCUUUUUCCAGUGGUAUCCUUAGAAUCCACUUCAGAUGACAGAGCUGUAAGACAUAGAAGUGCUGCCUCCAUAUGCACUGAAAUUAGAGUUUAUGUAAAACUCUGAUUGUAUCAAGUGACUAAGAUUUGGGAAUCAUUGUUGCUGCAUUGUAGCCUAACCGAAUCUGACUGACUAAAGUUUGUCAGUGAGUUAAAAAUGCAGCUAUGUAUCCAUCUAUGCAUGUCUUUCUGGUCACCUUGGAGACACCCUUCCUUGGAAGGCAGAAAGUGUUUUGUGUGCGAACCAUUAGCAGGAUGCCCAAUACCGGCCCUCAUCCAGAGUGACCUAACAGCAUGAACAGCCCUCUGUGAGCUUAGAACGUAAAUUUUCCAUGGUGGUCACCAUUGUUCCUGUGUGUUGAGGCAAGUCAGAAAAAACUGCACUGCUCUUUGGCAGAAUGCCAGGAAAAUGAUCUGGAAUAAAGUUAAUAUUUAAACAAAAUUAUGUACUAUCUAAUCUCCUGUUAUAAUCUGGGAAUUUAUUAGAGUAAUCUGAGAAAGCCAAGCCCCCUUCCCUUGUCUUUAAAGACCCAAAAUCAUAUCUCACAGUUAAAAGAAAUUUUUUUAAAAUUAAGUGUCUCAAUUCAGAAGAUUUCUAAGCAACUCACAUGUUCUGGCCACAAGUAAAUUUUCCCUCAUACAAAUACACAAACUUAAAGGAAAUAUUAAAUGCCAAAUAACAAUAGUUAUCAGCCCAUCUGUGAUCCUCUAUUCUGAGAAUUUGUCAUUACGCCUUUCAAGUUAUCUCCAAAUCCCACCUGCUUUCAGAUCCUCAGAAGCUGGCUUUCUGUUUUGCUAUGAUUGCUCAAUAGAAAAGCAACAGAU
Molecule: long non-coding RNA, 2741 nt
Filed under: Pan troglodytes (chimpanzee)
Lineage: Eukaryota; Metazoa; Chordata; Mammalia; Primates; Hominidae
Description: long non-coding RNA NONPTRT011259
Source: RNAcentral